GACGAACGCUGGCGGCGUGCUUAACACAUGCAAGUCGAACGGAAAGGCCCUGCUUGCCGGGUACUCGAGUGGCGAACGGGUGAGUAACACGUGGGUGAUCUGCCCUGCACUUCGGGAUAAGCCUGGGAAACUAGGUCUAAUACCGGAUAGGAGCCAUUUUUAGUGUGAUGGUUGGAAAGUUUUUUCGGUGUAGGAUGAGCUCGCGGCCUAUCAGCUUGUUGGUGGGGUAAUGGCCUACCAAGGCGGCGACGGGUAGCCGGCCUGAGAGGGUGGACGGCCACAUUGGGACUGAGAUACGGCCCAGACUCCUACGGGAGGCAGCAGUGGGGAAUAUUGCACAAUGGGCGCAAGCCUGAUGCAGCGACGCCGCGUGGGGGAUGACGGCCUUCGGGUUGUAAACUCCUUUCGCUAGGGACGAAGCUUUUGUGACGGUACCUAGAUAAGAAGCACCGGCUAACUACGUG
This 464-nucleotide ribosomal RNA is filed under the name uncultured bacterium. RNAcentral describes it as "partial 16S ribosomal RNA". It matches the Rfam family "Bacterial small subunit ribosomal RNA", at positions 28 to 507 of the family's 1533-position model. The record is from RNAcentral.